This 328-nucleotide ribosomal RNA is filed under the name uncultured eukaryote. RNAcentral describes it as "partial 18S ribosomal RNA". It matches the Rfam family "Eukaryotic small subunit ribosomal RNA", at positions 1470 to 1796 of the family's 1831-position model. The record is from RNAcentral.
CCCUUAGAUGUUCGGGGCCGCACGCGCGCUACACUGAAUGAAUCAGCGAGUGUAUGUCCUAGGCCGAAAGGUCCGGGUAACCCGUUGAACCUCAUUCGUGAUUGGGAUAGGGACUUGCAAUUGUUUCCCUUGAACGAGGAAUUCCCAGUAAGCGCAAGUCAUCAGCUUGCGUUGAUUACGUCCCUGCCCUUUGUACACACCGCCCGUCGCUACUACCGAUUGGAUGGUCCGGUGAAGCCUCGGGAUUGUGGUUCUUGCCGCUUUAUUGUGGCGUGACCGCGAGAACUUGUCUAAACCUUAUCAUCUAGAGGAAGGUGAAGUCGUAACA